This 1418-nucleotide ribosomal RNA is filed under the name Salmonella enterica. RNAcentral's name for it is "bacterial LSU rRNA". It matches the Rfam family "Bacterial large subunit ribosomal RNA", at positions 1 to 1348 of the family's 2925-position model. The record is from RNAcentral. Lineage: Bacteria; Pseudomonadati; Pseudomonadota; Gammaproteobacteria; Enterobacterales; Enterobacteriaceae.
GGGUUGUGAGGUUAAGCGACUAAGCGUACACGGUGGAUGCCCUGGCAGUCAGAGGCGAUGAAGGACGUGCUAAUCUGCGAUAAGCGCCGGUAAGGUGAUAUGAACCGUUAUAACCGGCGAUUUCCGAAUGGGGAAACCCAGUGUGACUCGUCACACUAUCAUUAACUGAAUCCAUAGGUUAAUGAGGCGAACCGGGGGAACUGAAACAUCUAAGUACCCCGAGGAAAAGAAAUCAACCGAGAUUCCCCCAGUAGCGGCGAGCGAACGGGGAGGAGCCCAGAGCCUGAAUCAGCAUGUGUGUUAGUGGAAGCGUCUGGAAAGGCGCGCGAUACAGGGUGACAGCCCCGUACACAAAAGCGCAUGUGCUGUGAGCUCGAUGAGUAGGGCGGGACACGUGGUAUCCUGUCUGAAUAUGGGGGGACCAUCCUCCAAGGCUAAAUACUCCUGACUGACCGAUAGUGAACCAGUACCGUGAGGGAAAGGCGAAAAGAACCCCGGCGAGGGGAGUGAAAAAGAACCUGAAACCGUGUACGUACAAGCAGUGGGAGCCCCACCACCAAAGCAUUCUCUGGUGUUGAAGGCCCUGCAAAGCAGCAUCGCGGUGGCGGAGCGUCGUUUGCGACGCCCAACACACAAAACAAGCGGUGAGUGCUUUGGGGUGGGGUGACUGCGUACCUUUUGUAUAAUGGGUCAGCGACUUAUAUUCUGUAGCAAGGUUAACCGAAUAGGGGAGCCGUAGGGAAACCGAGUCUUAACCGGGCGUUAAGUUGCAGGGUAUAGACCCGAAACCCGGUGAUCUAGCCAUGGGCAGGUUGAAGGUUGGGUAACACUAACUGGAGGACCGAACCGACUAAUGUUGAAAAAUUAGCGGAUGACCUGUGGCUGGGGGUGAAAGGCCAAUCAAACCGGGAGAUAGCUGGUUCUCCCCGAAAGCUAUUUAGGUAGCGCCUCGUGAAUUCAUCUCCGGGGGUAGAGCACUGUUUCGGCUAGGGGGCCAUCCCGGCUUACCAACCCGAUGCAAACUGCGAAUACCGGAGAAUGUUAUCACGGGAGACACACGGCGGGUGCUAACGUCCGUCGUGAAGAGGGAAACAACCCAGACCGCCAGCUAAGGUCCCAAAGUCAUGGUUAAGUGGGAAACGAUGUGGGAAGGCCCAGACAGCCAGGAUGUUGGCUUAGAAGCAGCCAUCAUUUAAAGAAAGCGUAAUAGCUCACUGGUCGAGUCGGCCUGCGCGGAAGAUGUAACGGGGCUAAACCAUGCACCGAAGCUGCGGCAGCGACACUGUGUGUUGUUGGGUAGGGGAGCGUUCUGUAAGCCUGCGAAGGUGGCCUGUGAGGGUUGCUGGAGGUAUCAGAAGUGCGAAUGCUGACAUAAGUAACGAUAAAGCGGGUGAAAAGCCCGCUCGCCGGAAGACCAA